Long non-coding RNA from Nematolebias whitei (Rio pearlfish), 166 nucleotides. RefSeq lists it as uncharacterized. The transcript is spliced from 4 exons. NCBI's taxonomy places the organism in Eukaryota, Metazoa, Chordata, Actinopteri, Cyprinodontiformes, Rivulidae. The record is from RefSeq and is a predicted model, not a curated record.
CUAUGCAUUUUGUGAAAGGCAUGUACCCAGAACUCUUCCAGGAGAAUGAGUGGAACGUCUUCAUUGGAUCCAUAGUUGGAGAAAUGUUUAAGAAAGAAGAGUUUCCUUCUUGGAUUGAUCAGGAGAGACAUGGAACGGUGGCCAUUUUGAAAACUACAUUCCCAGC